Argiope bruennichi is the source of this 403-nucleotide long non-coding RNA. RefSeq lists it as uncharacterized. The transcript has 3 exons. The record is from RefSeq and is a predicted model, not a curated record. Lineage: Eukaryota; Metazoa; Arthropoda; Arachnida; Araneae; Araneidae.
CAAACUUCCGCUAAGACAAGCGACCAACAUAAAGUGCGCUAAAAUGAUGAAAGCCGUGCUCGCUCUUGUUUUGGCUAUGGCAGCCAUUGCUUGUGCCUCAACCGGCGUCGAUGUCAUUCGCCACACUCCCGGAUUCAAUGGCUACUAUGGAUAUGCACCAUAUUACCAUGGAUACGGAAACGGAUAUUUCGGGUAUGAUGGACUUGGUUUGGGACCUUAUAACUACUAUGGAAGAUACGGCCUCGGUUAUGGAGGAUAUGGUAUCGGAUAUCGAGGAUAUUUGGGAGGGCUCGGUUACUACGGUUAUUUUUAAGUAACUUCUUGUUCAACGGCAGAAUGUGUUAGCAACGGCAGCGUGUGUUGUGAAACAGCUUACUACAAGAUCCCACCAUCUAGGUUGGAG